RNAcentral lists this ribosomal RNA (523 nucleotides) under Mursia cristiata. Its description in RNAcentral is "partial 16S ribosomal RNA". It matches the Rfam family "Archaeal large subunit ribosomal RNA", at positions 1955 to 2702 of the family's 2987-position model. Lineage: Eukaryota; Metazoa; Arthropoda; Malacostraca; Decapoda; Calappidae. The record is from RNAcentral.
UCACUGACGUUAUAAGUUUAAGAGCCGCGGUAUACUGACCGUGCAAAGGUAGCAUAAUCAUUAGUUUUUUAAUUGAAAACUUGUAUGAAGGGUUUGACAAAAGAAAUACUGUCUUUAUUUUAAAUAUUGAAUUUAACUUUUAAGUGAGAAGGCUUAAAUUGUUUGGGGGGACGAUAAGACCCUAUAAAGCUUUAUUUAUUGUUUAAGAUUUAUUAAAAUAAUAAUUUAAAAUGUAUUUUAAAUAAUUUAUUUUGUUGGGGCGACAGAGAUAUAAGUUAAAUAACUGUUUAAAAUUUAAAUAGCUAUAGGUAGAUAAGGAGUAAAUGAUCCUUUUUAAAGAUUAAAAGAACAAGUUACUUUAGGGAUAACAGCGUAAUUCUCUUUGAGAGUUCCUAUCGAAAAGAGAGUUUGCGACCUCGAUGUUGAAUUAAAAGAUCUUUAUUGUGCAGCAGCUUUAAGAGAGGGUCUGUUCGACCUUUAAAUUUUUACAUGAUUUGAGUUCAGAUCGGCGUGAGCCAGGUUG